UUCGCCCCAGAGCUGUCUCCCAGACCCUGGCAUUUGCUGGCUCCAUUCAUUCCCUGGAGUUUCCUCGCUCCUCCACCCUCCACAAUUGCACCAGCAAACCUGCGCAGCUGGUUUGCCAGGGAGGAGCAAGACCUGUUUUCCCAUCUGGGGCAGGUGUGAUCGGGAACAGCAAAGAAGCCAGCACGGGCCGGGCACAGUGGAGCGCACCUGUAAUCCCAGCUACUCAGGAGGCCAAGGCAGGAGGAUUGCUUGAGCCUAGGAGUUUGAUAUCAGCCUGGGCAACAUAUCAAGACCUCAUCUCUAUUAACAAAUUAAAAGAAAAAAGAGGCUAGGCGUCGUGGCUCAUGCCUGUAAUCCCAGCACUUUGGGAGGCCUAGGCAAGUGGAUCACCUGAG
This 395-nucleotide long non-coding RNA is filed under the name Homo sapiens (human). RNAcentral's name for it is "non-protein coding lnc-SWI5-1:2". Lineage: Eukaryota; Metazoa; Chordata; Mammalia; Primates; Hominidae. The record is from RNAcentral.